This 31-nucleotide non-coding RNA is filed under the name Mus musculus (house mouse). The record is from RNAcentral. Lineage: Eukaryota; Metazoa; Chordata; Mammalia; Rodentia; Muridae.
AUUAGUGCAAAAUCUUCACUUAGAACAGAUG